RNAcentral lists this ribosomal RNA (496 nucleotides) under uncultured bacterium. RNAcentral describes it as "partial 16S ribosomal RNA". It matches the Rfam family "Bacterial small subunit ribosomal RNA", at positions 28 to 506 of the family's 1533-position model. The record is from RNAcentral.
GAUGAACGCUGGCGGCGUGCCUAAUACAUGCAAGUCGAGCGAACGGACGAGAAGCUUGCUUCUCUGAUGUUAGCGGCGGACGGGUGAGUAACACGUGGAUAACCUACCUAUAAGGCUGGGAUAACUUCGGGAAACCGUAGCUAAUACCGGAUAAUAUUUUGAACCGCAUGGUUCAAAAGUGAAAGACGGUCUUGCUGUCACUUAUAGAUGGAUCCGCGCUGCAUUAGCUAGUUGGUAAGGUAACGGCUUACCAAGGCAACGAUGCAUAGCCGACCUGAGAGGGUGAUCGGCCACACUGGAACUGAGACACGGUCCAGACUCCUACGGGAGGCAGCAGUAGGGAAUCUUCCGCAAUGGGCGAAAGCCUGACGGAGCAACGCCGCGUGAGUGAUGAAGGUCUUCGGAUCGUAAAACUCUGUUAUUAGGGAAGAACAUAUGUGUAAGUAACUGUGCACAUCUUGACGGUACCUAAUCAGAAAGCCACGGCUAACUACGU